RNAcentral lists this ribosomal RNA (902 nucleotides) under Metarhizium sp. RNAcentral describes it as "partial large subunit ribosomal RNA". It matches the Rfam family "Eukaryotic large subunit ribosomal RNA", at positions 37 to 962 of the family's 3401-position model. Lineage: Eukaryota; Fungi; Ascomycota; Sordariomycetes; Hypocreales; Clavicipitaceae. The record is from RNAcentral.
AGCAUAUCAAUAAGCGGAGGAAAAGAAACCAACAGGGAUUGCCCCAGUAACGGCGAGUGAAGCGGCAACAGCUCAAAUUUGAAAUCUGGUCCCCAGGGCCCGAGUUGUAAUUUGCAGAGGAUGCUUUUGGUGAGGUGCCUUCCGAGUUCCCUGGAACGGGACGCCAUAGAGGGUGAGAGCCCCGUCUGGUUGGAUACCGAGCCUCUGUAAAGCUCCUUCGACGAGUCGAGUAGUUUGGGAAUGCUGCUCUAAAUGGGAGGUAUAUGUCUUCUAAAGCUAAAUAUUGGCCAGAGACCGAUAGCGCACAAGUAGAGUGAUCGAAAGAUGAAAAGCACUUUGAAAAGAGGGUUAAAUAGUACGUGAAAUUGUUGAAAGGGAAGCACUUAUGACCAGACUUGGCCCCGGUGAAUCAUCCAGCGGUUCCCGCUGGUGCACUUUGCCGGGGUUCAGGCCAGCAUCAGUUCGCUCCGGGGGAUAAAGGCUUUGGGAAUGUGGCUCCCUCGGGAGUGUUAUAGCCCAUUGCGUAAUACCCUGUGGCGGGCUGAGGUUCGCGCUUUAUGCAAGGAUGCUGGCAUAAUGGUCAUCAGUGACCCGUCUUGAAACACGGACCAAGGAGUCGUCUUCGUAUGCGAGUGUUCGGGUGUUAAACCCCUACGCGUAAUGAAAGUGAACGCAGGUGAGAGCCCUCCAGGGCGCAUCAUCGACCGAUCCUGAUGUUCUCGGAUGGAUUUGAGUAAGAGCAUACGGGGCCGGACCCGAAAGAAGGUGAACUAUGCCUGUAUAGGGUGAAGCCAGAGGAAACUCUGGUGGAGGCUCGCAGCGGUUCUGACGUGCAAAUCGAUCGUCAAAUAUGGGCAUGGGGGCGAAAGACUAAUCGAACCUUCUAGUAGCUGGUUUCCGCC